RNAcentral lists this ribosomal RNA (441 nucleotides) under uncultured bacterium. Its description in RNAcentral is "partial 16S ribosomal RNA". It matches the Rfam family "Bacterial small subunit ribosomal RNA", at positions 338 to 795 of the family's 1533-position model. The record is from RNAcentral.
CCUACGGGCGGCAGCAGUGGGGAAUAUUGGGCAAUGGGCGAAAGCCUGACCCAGCAACGCCGCGUGAAGGAAGAAGGCUUUCGGGUUGUAAACUUCUUUUGACAGGGAAGAGCAGAAGACGGUACCUAUCGAAUAAGCCACGGCUAACUACGUGCCAGCAGCAGCGGUAAGACGUAGGUGGCAAGCGUUGUCCGGAUUUACUGGGUGUAAAGUGCGUGUAGCCUGGCUGACAAGUCAGAUGUGAAAUCCGGGGCUCAACCCCCGACCUGCAUUUGAAACUGUUGGUUUGGAGUAUCGGAGAGGCAGGCGGAAUUCCUAGUGUAGCGGUGAAGUGCGGAGAUAUUAGGAGGAACACCAGUGGCGAAGGCGGCCUGCUGGACGACAACUGACGGUGAGGCGCGAAAGCGUGGGGAGCAAACAGGAUUAGAUACCCCGGUAGUC